AUAUUUACAAUGAGCAAACUUGGGAAAAAUAGACAGCAUGGGAGGUUUGCUCUUCUAUUGUUGUUGAUGUGAAAGUCUCAUACUACUAAUUUGCCAAAAUCUGCUAGUACCACCAACACAGGAUGUUCAUUUACUGCAAUGCGCAGGUGAAACUGAGAGGUGUGAGCUCCAGACAAAGACGGUCUGUGUUUCCACUGAGUGGUGUCAGGGCCAUGCAAAUAGGAUAGGCAAACACUGCCCUUAAGCCACACUGAAGCCUUUGUGAUGCUGCAUGUUCCUUGAGCAGUUAUCAGAAAAACUAACCCAUGUGCAUAUUGAAUUCGGUGCCGAGAAGCCGGACGGAUCAUUUUUCGGCCUGCGAAGUGGUGCAUGUGUAGUGCCUAUGCCAAAGUGGCCCAGAUGAGUGAAGCCGAUAUCAUUAUGGAAGGCAUCCUGCUGAAGAUGUCCCAGCAGAAAAAGAAAAUAUCUCCUAGGAACUAUAAAGAGCGGCUCUUCGUUCUGACCAGCCAGGCUCUGAUUUACUAUGAACAGGAAAAGGGGAAGAAAAAGAGAAAAAAGGGGUCAGUUCGGACAGAAAGUAUCUGCUAUGUGGAAAAAGUUGAGGCAGAGAGGAAUGCGCCUGUAGAAAGAAUGUUCCCCUUUCAGAUCGCAUAUGAUGACUCCAUCCUGUACAUGUUUGCAAAGGAUGAUGCAGAUAGGAUGAUCUGGUUAGAGGCUGUGAUGCAAGUAAUAAAGGAUAAUGUCAAGCUCUCUGCAAAGUACCACAAAGCAUUCUGGGUAGACGGAAUGUUCCAGUGCUGUGGCCAGACUGUAAAGAAUGCUCCAGGCUGCUGUGACUGGCACAAAGAAUCAAUGAAGCGCAGAGCAACUUCUCGAAAAAUGGCAUUACCUCCUUUGCCAUCUGCAAAGCUCCCAGAGAGAAUUCAACUUCCUCCCAUCCCGGAAGAUGAAGACAGUGCUUGUGUGGAGGUUGUGGCUCUGUAUGACUACACUGCCAGGAAGUCUGGAGAGCUAAGUCUUGUGAAGGGGAACAGAUACGUCUCUCUGGAAAAGCUGUCGGGUGACUGGUGGAAAAUCAGAGACACAGCUGGUUCUGAAGGAGUUGUCCCUUCUAAUUACAUGGAGGAAGUGGAAAGCAACCACAGUUUGAGACGUCCGGUUGAUGACCACAUAGAGGACUAUCCCUGGUACGUGGGCAACAUGUCUCGAGUGAAGACGGAGCAGCUGCUACGCGAGAAGGGUAAAGAAGGAUCAUUCGUGGUUAGAGACUCCAGUCAAAAAGGAGUAUACACAGUGUCGCUCUUUAGCCGAGCACUAGAUGAAGUGAAAGGGACUGUAAGGCAUUAUCUCAUUAACGUGAAUGCAGAAGGGCUGUAUUACUUGGCAGAGAACCACCUGUUUGAGUCCAUUCCCCAAAUGAUAGAGUACCAUCAACACAAUGCGGCAGGCCUGCUUACAAGACUGCGGCUUCCUGCUACAGAAACCGAUCUCACAUCUCAGUCAGCACAGGGUGCGUGGGAGCUGAGACGAGAAGACGUGUGUCUGGUGAAAGAGCUAGGCAGCGGCCAGUUCGGAGUGGUCCAGCUCGGCAUGUGGAAGGGCAAACAUCAGGUGGCCAUUAAGAUGGUGAAAGAGGGCUGCAUGUCGUCAGACGAGUUUAUAGAGGAAGCCCAGAUCAUGAUGAAAUUCCGGCAUCCUAAGCUUGUGAGGCUCCACGGUGUGUGUACCAAGUGCUUUCCCAUCUACAUCGUGACAGAGUUCAUGAGUAAUGGCUGCCUGCUGGAGUACCUGAGGCAUCAUGGGAAAGAGCUGCGUCCUCGGCGUCUCCUUACCAUGUGCCUGGAUGUGUGUGAGGCGAUGGCUUACCUCGAGGGUCAGCAGUUCAUUCACAGAGAUCUAGCUGCGAGGAACUGUUUGGUAGAUAAAGAUUUAUCUGUCAAAGUGUCUGACUUUGGAAUGGCAAGAUAUGUACUGGAUGAUCAGUACACCAGUUCUGCAGGUACAAAGUUUCCUGUGAAGUGGUCGGCCCCUGAGGUUCUGAACUACACGAGGUUUAGCAGCAAGUCCGAUGUGUGUGCUGAUGUGGGAGGUGUACAGUCUGGGCAAGCAGCCCUAUGAGCACUAUGAUAAUGCACAUGUAGCUGAGAGAGUGAUGCAGGGUCAUCGCCUGUAUAGACCACAGCUGGCCACAGAUCAGAUCUACCAAGUUAUGAAAUCAUGCUGGCAUGAGCUUCCAGAGGGGAGGCCCAACUUUCAGAAGCUUUUUAAUGAUCUCAGUGCAUGUGUAGAGGACAGUAAACAAUGAUUACACUACAUGAACUUUAUAUUGUGCAUUUGCAAACAUUACUGUAGUAACUUGUUUUUGUAUCUUGUUAUGAGGCAAUAAUAAUAAUAAUAAUAAUAAUAAUAAUAAUAAUAAUAAUAACCCUCUUCCUCUGUGUUUCAUGCACAGUAACACCUGAAUGAUUUGUUGAUUUGUUUUGGACAUCCAAAACAGCGAGAAGUAGAGAAUAGUUGUAAUAAAUCAAGCCUCUGCAUGCUCCAAAAGUGCACAUUACAGAAUGAGUAGCAAUAUUUCUAGAGGCCCACACAUCUAUUGGGUUUAGUGAGCGUGAUAUUUCCUGUUUGCUCAUAGCAACUUAACCACCGCUGUUCACCAGAAUAUCUCACUAAAAUUAGGUUAGGUAUUGGUACUUCUUAUGGGCACAUAAGUUUGCCUCAGUAAAAAAAAAAAAAAAAAAAAAAGAAGAAGGUUGUAUUAAGAGAAUCGAUGUA
Molecule: RNA transcript, 2775 nt
Organism: Ictalurus furcatus (blue catfish)
Lineage: Eukaryota; Metazoa; Chordata; Actinopteri; Siluriformes; Ictaluridae
Gene name: cytoplasmic tyrosine-protein kinase BMX
Exons: 19
Source: RefSeq, a predicted model, not a curated record